CAGGUGCUCAGCAGCAAUUGUAUUGAACAUUGCCAAGAGUUAAGCACACCGUUAACAGCACAUAGUCUUGAUUAAGCUCCAGAGUAAUCUAAAGGGGAACAUGAAACUCCAAGCGGGGAGGUAAGUUAAUUUUCUGCUCUCUCUUGCAGAACAUUAAGAACAAAGGUUGCAUAAAUCUACAGAUGUACUAAGAUUUAAAGGUAAGCUAUUUCUUUUCUUUCUUAGUUCUUUCAUACUCAUAUUGAUUCAGUGUCCUAUAUUAUUUGCAUAUUCCAGAUCCCCUAGAGGAUGAUUGAAUUGUUCGGACAUAAGAGUAUCAACUUGAAGACCACAAAAGUUCCUCUUCUAGCUACAAUGCUCAGUUUGACUUCAUCUGAAGGCUGGAGCAGGAUUGUCCGAGACAUGUGCUUGUCAGCUAC
Molecule: long non-coding RNA, 419 nt
Filed under: Nicotiana tabacum (common tobacco)
Lineage: Eukaryota; Viridiplantae; Streptophyta; Magnoliopsida; Solanales; Solanaceae
Description: long non-coding RNA (NTAB_LNC014880)
Source: RNAcentral